Molecule: non-coding RNA, 136 nt
Organism: Triticum aestivum (bread wheat)
Lineage: Eukaryota; Viridiplantae; Streptophyta; Magnoliopsida; Poales; Poaceae
Source: Rfam
AUUCUACUCCCUCCGUUGCACAAUACAUGCCUUCUAUUUGUCAAAAUAUAUAUGUAUCUAGACAUGUUUUAGUAUAUAGGCACAUCCAAUUUUGGACAAAUGGAAGUCAAGUAUUUUGGAACGGAGGGAGUACACA